This 490-nucleotide ribosomal RNA is filed under the name uncultured bacterium. RNAcentral describes it as "partial 16S ribosomal RNA". It matches the Rfam family "Bacterial small subunit ribosomal RNA", at positions 28 to 507 of the family's 1533-position model. The record is from RNAcentral.
GUUGAACGCUGGCGGCAGGCCUAACACAUGCAAGUCGAACGGAAACAGAAAGCAGCUUGCUGCUUUGCUGUCGAGUGGCGGACGGGAGUGUCAUGUCUGGGACACAGCUUGAUGGAGGGGGUUACCUACUGGAAACGGUAGCUAAUACCGCAUAACGUCGCAACCCCAAAGAGGGGGACUUUCGGGCCUCUUGCCAUCGGCUGUGCCCAGAUGGGAUUAGCUAGUAGGUGGGGUAAAGGCUCACCUAGGCGACGAUCCCUAGCUGGUCUGAGAGGAUGACCAGCCACACUGGAACUGAGACACGGUCCAGACUCCUACGGGAGGCAGCAGUGGGGAAUAUUGCACAAUGGGCGCAAGCCUGAUGCAGCCAUGCCGCGUGUAUGAAGAAGGCCUUCGGGUUGUAAAGUACUUUCAGCGGGGAGGAAGGGAGGAAAGUUAAUACCUUUGCUCAUUGACGUUACCCGCAGAAGAAGCACCGGCUAACUCCGUG